CCUACGGGGGGCAGCAGUGGGGAAUAUUGGACAAUGGGGGGAACCCUGAUCCAGCCAUGCCGCGUGUGUGAAGAAGGCCCUCGGGUUGUAAAGCACUUUCAGUGAGGAAGAACGCCUGGUGGUUAAUACCCAUCAGGAAAGACAUCACUCACAGAAGAAGCACCGGCUAACUCCGUGCCAGCAGCCGCGGUAAUAUGGAUGGUGCGAGCGUUAAUCGGAAUUACUGGGCGUAAAGCGCGCGUAGGUGGCUUGAUAAGCCGGUUGUGAAAGCCCCGGGCUCAACCUGGGAACGGCAUCCGGAACUGUCAAGCUAGAGUGCAGGAGAGGAAGGUAGAAUUCCCGGUGUAGCGGUGAAAUGCGUAGAGAUCGGGAGGAAUACCAGUGGCGAAGGCGGCCUUCUGGACUGACACUGACACUGAGGUGCGAAAGCGUGGGUAGCAAACAGGAUUAGCUACCCUGGUAGUC
Molecule: ribosomal RNA, 465 nt
Filed under: Vreelandella stevensii
Lineage: Bacteria; Pseudomonadati; Pseudomonadota; Gammaproteobacteria; Oceanospirillales; Halomonadaceae
Description: partial 16S ribosomal RNA
Rfam family: Bacterial small subunit ribosomal RNA
Source: RNAcentral